GUCUUUUUGAUAAUAAUUUAAAGUCUAAUCUGCCCACUGAUAAGUAUUAAAGGGCUGCAGUAUAUUGACUGUACAAAGGUAGCAUAAUCAUUAGUUUUUUAAUUGGAAACUUGUAUGAAGGAUUUGAUGAAAUAUAAACUGUCUCUUAAUUAUUAUUAAAAUUUUAUUUUUUCGUUAAAAAGCUAAAAUAAAUUUAAAAGACGAGAAGACCCUAUAGAGUUUUAUAUUUUGUUAUAUUUUAAAAAUUUAUAAAAUUAAUAUUUAAAAUAAAGUAAAAUAUUAUGUUGGGGUGACAGAAAAAUUAAAUAAACUUUUUUUAAAAAUUAAACAUUUAUAAAUGAAUAAUUGAUCCAUAAAUAAUGAUUAUAAGAAAAAAUUACCUUAGGGAUAACAGCGUAAUAUUUUUUUUUAGUUCAAAUAAAAAAAAAAGUUUGCGACCUCGAUGUUGGAUUAAGAUAAAAUUUAAAUGCAAAAGUUUAAAAUUUUGAUCUGUUCGAUCAUUAAAAUCUUACA
Molecule: ribosomal RNA, 513 nt
Filed under: Coenonympha tullia (common ringlet)
Lineage: Eukaryota; Metazoa; Arthropoda; Insecta; Lepidoptera; Nymphalidae
Description: partial 16S ribosomal RNA
Source: RNAcentral